RNAcentral lists this ribosomal RNA (2789 nucleotides) under Escherichia coli. RNAcentral's name for it is "bacterial LSU rRNA". It matches the Rfam family "Bacterial large subunit ribosomal RNA". Lineage: Bacteria; Pseudomonadati; Pseudomonadota; Gammaproteobacteria; Enterobacterales; Enterobacteriaceae. The record is from RNAcentral.
AGCGUACACGGUGGAUGCCCUGGCAGUCAGAGGCGAUGAAGGACGUGCUAAUCUGCGAUAAGCGUCGGUAAGGUGAUAUGAACCGUUAUAACCGGCGAUUUCCGAAUGGGGAAACCCAGUGUGUUUCGACACACUAUCAUUAACUGAAUCCAUAGGUUAAUGAGGCGAACCGGGGGAACUGAAACAUCUAAGUACCCCGAGGAAAAGAAAUCAACCGAGAUUCCCCCAGUAGCGGCGAGCGAACGGGGAGCAGCCCAGAGUCUGAAUCAGUGUGUGUGUUAGUGGAAGCGUCUGGAAAGGCGCGCGAUACAGGGUGACAGCCCCGUACACAAAAAUGCACAUGCUGUGAGCUCGAUGAGUAGGGCGGGACACGUGGUAUCCUGUCUGAAUAUGGGGGGACCAUCCUCCAAGGCUAAAUACUCCUGACUGACCGAUAGUGAACCAGUACCGUGAGGGAAAGGCGAAAAGAACCCCGGCGAGGGGAGUGAAAAAGAACCUGAAACCGUGUACGUACAAGCAGUGGGAGCACGCUUAGGCGUGUGACUGCGUACCUUUUGUAUAAUGGGUCAGCGACUUAUAUUCUGUAGCAAGGUUAACCGAAUAGGGGAGCCGAAGGGAAACCGAGUCUUAACUGGGCGUUAAGUUGCAGGGUAUAGACCCGAAACCCGGUGAUCUAGCCAUGGGCAGGUUGAAGGUUGGGUAACACUAACUGGAGGACCGAACCGACUAAUGUUGAAAAAUUAGCGGAUGACUUGUGGCUGGGGGUGAAAGGCCAAUCAAACCGGGAGAUAGCUGGUUCUCCCCGAAAGCUAUUUAGGUAGCGCCUCGUGAAUUCAUCUCCGGGGGUAGAGCACUGUUUCGGCAAGGGGGUCAUCCCGACUUACCAACCCGAUGCAAACUGCGAAUACCGGAGAAUGUUAUCACGGGAGACACACGGCGGGUGCUAACGUCCGUCGUGAAGAGGGAAACAACCCAGACCGCCAGCUAAGGUCCCAAAGUCAUGGUUAAGUGGGAAACGAUGUGGGAAGGCCCAGACAGCCAGGAUGUUGGCUUAGAAGCAGCCAUCAUUUAAAGAAAGCGUAAUAGCUCACUGGUCGAGUCGGCCUGCGCGGAAGAUGUAACGGGGCUAAACCAUGCACCGAAGCUGCGGCAGCGACGCUGAUGCGUUGUUGGGUAGGGGAGCGUUCUGUAAGCCUGCGAAGGUGUGCUGUGAGGCAUGCUGGAGGUAUCAGAAGUGCGAAUGCUGACAUAAGUAACGAUAAAGCGGGUGAAAAGCCCGCUCGCCGGAAGACCAAGGGUUCCUGUCCAACGUUAAUCGGGGCAGGGUGAGUCGACCCCUAAGGCGAGGCCGAAAGGCGUAGUCGAUGGGAAACAGGUUAAUAUUCCUGUACUUGGUGUUACUGCGAAGGGGGGACGGAGAAGGCUAUGUUGGCCGGGCGACGGUUGUCCCGGUUUAAGCGUGUAGGCUGGUUUUCCAGGCAAAUCCGGAAAAUCAAGGCUGAGGCGUGAUGACGAGGCACUACGGUGCUGAAGCAACAAAUGCCCUGCUUCCAGGAAAAGCCUCUAAGCAUCAGGUAACAUCAAAUCGUACCCCAAACCGACACAGGUGGUCAGGUAGAGAAUACCAAGGCGCUUGAGAGAACUCGGGUGAAGGAACUAGGCAAAAUGGUGCCGUAACUUCGGGAGAAGGCACGCUGAUAUGUAGGUGAAGUCCCUCGCGGAUGGAGCUGAAAUCAGUCGAAGAUACCAGCUGGCUGCAACUGUUUAUUAAAAACACAGCACUGUGCAAACACGAAAGUGGACGUAUACGGUGUGACGCCUGCCCGGUGCCGGAAGGUUAAUUGAUGGGGUUAGCGGUAACGCGAAGCUCUUGAUCGAAGCCCCGGUAAACGGCGGCCGUAACUAUAACGGUCCUAAGGUAGCGAAAUUCCUUGUCGGGUAAGUUCCGACCUGCACGAAUGGCGUAAUGAUGGCCAGGCUGUCUCCACCCGAGACUCAGUGAAAUUGAACUCGCUGUGAAGAUGCAGUGUACCCGCGGCAAGACGGAAAGACCCCGUGAACCUUUACUAUAGCUUGACACUGAACAUUGAGCCUUGAUGUGUAGGAUAGGUGGGAGGCUUUGAAGUGUGGACGCCAGUCUGCAUGGAGCCGACCUUGAAAUACCACCCUUUAAUGUUUGAUGUUCUAACGUUGACCCGUAAUCCGGGUUGCGGACAGUGUCUGGUGGGUAGUUUGACUGGGGCGGUCUCCUCCUAAAGAGUAACGGAGGAGCACGAAGGUUGGCUAAUCCUGGUCGGACAUCAGGAGGUUAGUGCAAUGGCAUAAGCCAGCUUGACUGCGAGCGUGACGGCGCGAGCAGGUGCGAAAGCAGGUCAUAGUGAUCCGGUGGUUCUGAAUGGAAGGGCCAUCGCUCAACGGAUAAAAGGUACUCCGGGGAUAACAGGCUGAUACCGCCCAAGAGUUCAUAUCGACGGCGGUGUUUGGCACCUCGAUGUCGGCUCAUCACAUCCUGGGGCUGAAGUAGGUCCCAAGGGUAUGGCUGUUCGCCAUUUAAAGUGGUACGCGAGCUGGGUUUAGAACGUCGUGAGACAGUUCGGUCCCUAUCUGCCGUGGGCGCUGGAGAACUGAGGGGGGCUGCUCCUAGUACGAGAGGACCGGAGUGGACGCAUCACUGGUGUUCGGGUUGUCAUGCCAAUGGCACUGCCCGGUAGCUAAAUGCGGAAGAGAUAAGUGCUGAAAGCAUCUAAGCACGAAACUUGCCCCGAGAUGAGUUCUCCCUGACUCCUUGA